Molecule: ribosomal RNA, 465 nt
Filed under: uncultured bacterium
Lineage: Bacteria
Description: partial 16S ribosomal RNA
Rfam family: Bacterial small subunit ribosomal RNA
Source: RNAcentral
CCUACGGGUGGCAGCAGUGGGGAAUAUUGCACAAUGGGCGAAAGCCUGACGCAGCGACGCCGCGUGAGGGAUGAAGGUCUUCGGAUCGUAAACCUCUGUCAGCGGGGAAGAACGGUCACUUUGCUAAUCCUCCGUUCAUUGACGGUACCUGCAAAGGAAGCACCGGCUAACUCCGUGCCAGCAGCCGCGUUAAUACGGAGGGUGCGAGCGUUAAUCGGAAUUACUGGGCGUAAAGCGCUCGUAGGUGGUAUGUCAAGUCAAGGGUGAAAUCCCCGCGCUCAACGUGGGAACUGCCUUUGAAACUGGCAAACUGGAGUGUGUGAGAGGGUAGUGGAAUUCCAGGUGUAGGAGUGAAAUGCGUAGAGAUCUGGAGGAACAUCAGUGGCGAAGGCGACCAGCUGGAACAUAACUGACGCUGAGGAGCGAAAGCGUGGGUAGCAAACAGGAUUAGAUACCCGGGUAGUC